GAUUGAACGCUGGCGGUAUGCUUAACACAUGCAAGUCGAACGGAAACGAUACUAGCUUGCUAGUAGGCGUCGAGUGGCGGACGGGUGAGUAACGCGUAGGAAUCUGCCUGAUAGUGGGGGAUAGCCCGAAGAAAUUCGGAUUAAUACCGCAUAAUCUAUUCGUAGUAAAGUGGGGGACUUUCGAGCCUCACGCUAUCAGAUGAGCCUGCGUAAGAUUAGCUUGUUGGUAGGGUAAAAGCCUACCAAGGCGACGAUCUUUAGCUGGUCUGAGAGGAUGAUCAGCCACAUCGGGACUGAGACACGGCCCGAACUCCUACGGGAGGCAGCAGUGGGGAAUAUUGGACAAUGGGGGCAACCCUGAUCCAGCAAUACCGCGUGUGUGAAGAAGGCCUGAGGGUUGUAAAGCACUUUCAAUUGUGAAGAAAAGUUAGCGGUUAAUAACCGUUAGCCUUGACGUUAACUUUAGAAGAAGCACCGGCUAACUCCGUGCCAGCAGCCGCGGUAAUACGGAGGGUGCAAGCGUUAAUCGGAAUUACUGGGCGUAAAGCGUGCGUAGGCGGUUUAUUAAGUCAGAUGUGAAAGCCCCGGGCUUAACCUGGGAACUGCAUUUGAAACUGGUCAACUAGAGUAUGGUAGAGGAAAGUGGAAUUUCUGGUGUAGCGGUGAAAUGCGUAGAUAUCAGAAGGAACAUCAAUGGCGAAGGCAGCUUUCUGGACCAAUACUGACGCUGAGGUACGAAAGCGUGGGUAGCAAACAGGAUUAGAUACCCUGGUAGUCCACGCCGUAAACGAUGAUAACUAGCCGUUGGGGGGAUUUACCCUUUAGUGGCGAAGCUAACGCGUUAAGUUAUCCGCCUGGGGAGUACGGCCGCAAGGUUAAAACUCAAAGGAAUUGACGGGGACCCGCACAAGCGGUGGAGCAUGUGGUUUAAUUCGAUGCAACGCGAAGAACCUUACCUGGUCUUGACAUCCUGCGAACUUUCUAGAAAUAGAUUGGUGCCUUCGGGAACGCAGUGACAGGUGCUGCAUGGCUGUCGUCAGCUCGUGUCGUGAGAUGUUGGGUUAAGUCCCGUAACGAGCGCAACCCCUAUCCUUAUUUGCCAGCACAUCAUGGUGGGAACUAUAAGGAGACUGCCGGUGAUAAACCGGAGGAAGGCGGGGACGACGUCAAGUCAUCAUGGCCCUUACGACCAGGGCUACACACGUGCUACAAUGGGAAGGACAAAGAGCCGCGAAGCCGCGAGGUGUAGCUAAUCUCAUAAACCUUUUCGUAGUCCGGAUUGGAGUCUGCAACUCGACUCCAUGAAGUCGGAAUCGCUAGUAAUCGUAGAUCAGAAUGCUACGGUGAAUACGUUCCCGGGUCUUGUACACACCGCCCGUCAAGG
Molecule: ribosomal RNA, 1384 nt
Filed under: uncultured bacterium
Lineage: Bacteria
Description: bacterial SSU rRNA
Rfam family: Bacterial small subunit ribosomal RNA
Source: RNAcentral